UACGGAGGAUCCGAGCGUUAUCCGGAUUUAUUGGGUUUAAAGGGUGCGUAGGCGGCUUUUUAAGUCAGCGGUGAAAUUUUGCAGCUUAACUGUAACAGUGCCGUUGAUACUGGGGAGCUAGGAUUUGGUUGCUGUGGGUGGAAUGUGUGGUGUAGCGGUGAAAUGCUUAGAGAUCACACAGAAUAUCGAUUGCGAAGGCAGCUGACAAAGCCAAGAUUGACGCUGAGGCACGAAAGUGUGGGGAUCAAACAGGAUUAGA
Molecule: ribosomal RNA, 259 nt
Filed under: uncultured prokaryote
Description: partial 16S ribosomal RNA
Rfam family: Bacterial small subunit ribosomal RNA
Source: RNAcentral